AGCAGAUGUGUCUUUGUUUUG
This 21-nucleotide non-coding RNA is filed under the name Arabidopsis thaliana (thale cress). Lineage: Eukaryota; Viridiplantae; Streptophyta; Magnoliopsida; Brassicales; Brassicaceae. The record is from RNAcentral.